Molecule: unclassified non-coding RNA, 20 nt
Filed under: Mus musculus (house mouse)
Lineage: Eukaryota; Metazoa; Chordata; Mammalia; Rodentia; Muridae
Description: oocyte_clustered_small_RNA1310
Source: RNAcentral
CACUCACCUGGCAGAAUACU